GAUGAACGCUGGCGGCGUGCCUAAUACAUGCAAGUCGAGCGAACAGACGAGGAGCUUGCUCCUCUGACGUUAGCGGCGGACGGGUGAGUAACACGUGGAUAACCUACCUAUAAGACUGGGAUAACUUCGGGAAACCGGAGCUAAUACCGGAUAAUAUAUUUAACCGCAUGGUUCAAUAUUGAAAGACGGUUUUGCUUUCACUUAUAUAUGGAUCCCCGCCGCAUUAGCUAGUUGGUAAGUUAACGGCUUACCAAGGCAACGAUGCGUAGCCGACCUGAGAGGGUGAUCGGCCACACUGGAACUGAGACACGGUCCAGACUCCUACGGGAGGCAGCAGUAGGGAAUCUUCCGCAAUGGGCGAAAGCCUGACGGAGCAACGCCGCGUGAGUGAUGAAGGUCUUCGGAUCGUAAAACUCUGUUAUUAGGGAAGAACAAAUGUGUAAGUAACUAUGCACGUCUUGACGGUACCUAAUCAGAAAGCCACGGCUAACUACGUG
RNAcentral lists this ribosomal RNA (497 nucleotides) under uncultured bacterium. Its description in RNAcentral is "partial 16S ribosomal RNA". It matches the Rfam family "Bacterial small subunit ribosomal RNA", at positions 28 to 507 of the family's 1533-position model. The record is from RNAcentral.